RNAcentral lists this transfer RNA (79 nucleotides) under Blyttiomyces helicus. It matches the Rfam family "tRNA". From Rfam's summary of the family: Transfer RNA (tRNA) molecules are approximately 80 nucleotides in length. Their secondary structure includes four short double-helical elements and three loops (D, anti-codon, and T loops). Further hydrogen bonds mediate the characteristic L-shaped molecular structure. tRNAs have two regions of fundamental functional importance: the anti-codon, which is responsible for specific mRNA codon recognition, and the 3' end, to which the tRNAs corresponding amino acid is attached (by aminoacyl-tRNA synthetases). tRNAs cope with the degeneracy of the genetic code in two manners: having more than one tRNA (with a specific anti-codon) for a particular amino acid; and 'wobble' base-pairing, i.e. permitting non-standard base-pairing at the 3rd anti-codon position. Lineage: Eukaryota; Fungi; Chytridiomycota; Chytridiomycetes. The record is from Rfam by way of RNAcentral.
GCAUGGUUGGUUUAGUGGCAUAAUUACCGCCUGCCAUUGCAGCACGCGGUAGACCCGGGUUCGAUUCCCGGACCAUGCA